GCGACUGUGGUUUAGUGGUAUGACCUGAGCUUCCCAAGCUUAGAACCCGGGUUCGAAUCCCGGCAGCCGCA
This 71-nucleotide transfer RNA is filed under the name Methanococcoides burtonii DSM 6242. RNAcentral describes it as "tRNA-Gly (CCC) (tRNA-Gly-CCC-1-1)". It matches the Rfam family "tRNA". From Rfam's summary of the family: Transfer RNA (tRNA) molecules are approximately 80 nucleotides in length. The record is from RNAcentral. RNAcentral also lists the same sequence under 5 other names. Lineage: Archaea; Methanobacteriati; Methanobacteriota; Methanomicrobia; Methanosarcinales; Methanosarcinaceae.